GUGGGGAAUCUUCCGCAAUGGACGAAAGUCUGAUGGAGCAACGCCGCGUGAGUGAAGAAGGUUUUCGGAUCGUAAAGCUCUUUCGUUAGGGACGAACGUGCUCUUUGUGAAUAAUGAGGAGUAAUGACGGUACCUAAAUAAGAAGCCACGGCUAACUACGUGCCAGCAGCCGCGGUAAUACGUAGGUGGCAAGCGUUGUCCGGAAUUAUUGGGCGUAAAGCGCGCGCAGGCGGGAUAUCAAGUCUGUCUUAAAAGUGCGAGGCUCAACCUCGUGAGGGGACAGAAACUGGUAUUCUUGAGUGUCGGAGAGGAAAGUGGAAUUCCAAGUGUAGCGGUGAAAUGCGUAGAGAUUUGGAAGAACACCAGUGGCGAAGGCGACUUUCUGGACGAUGUCUGACGCUGAGGCGCGAAAGCUAGGGGAGCGAACGGGAUUAGAAACCCCAGUAGUCC
RNAcentral lists this ribosomal RNA (450 nucleotides) under uncultured bacterium. RNAcentral's name for it is "partial 16S ribosomal RNA". It matches the Rfam family "Bacterial small subunit ribosomal RNA", at positions 354 to 796 of the family's 1533-position model. The record is from RNAcentral.